Molecule: RNA transcript, 5573 nt
Organism: Fukomys damarensis (Damara mole-rat)
Lineage: Eukaryota; Metazoa; Chordata; Mammalia; Rodentia; Bathyergidae
Exons: 5
Source: RefSeq, a predicted model, not a curated record
UCACUCUACUGAAAAUCCAGUUGUACGGUUAGCAAAAACCUCUGGCAGACAAACAGCUCCAUCUUUCCAGCCCUCCCCUCCUGCACCCCACAGAAUGGCUGGGAGGCCAAGGAAGACUGCGAAGGGAAGAGGGCCUCCCCUUCCAUGAAGGCCACUGGUGUUCUGCUCAGGACCCACGCCCCACUGUUACCAGGUCAGUCACUCGUGUCCUCAGCCACUCGUGGGUAUAGAAUCCAUGCCCACAGUGGCCGGAUACUGUGCGCAACACCAAGGGUCAGUGGCUUUCAAAACAGGUGCGGCCCUCGCUCACUGCUGGGACAAGCAUGAGUCAGGUCCAGAUGCCUGUGAGCCAGCAGGGGUCUCAGAGUCUGAGACCCUCGGCAGCGAUGACUGAGCUUGGAUCAGAGUGAAGUCAGCGACCACACCAAGAGAGGGAGGAGGAGGUGCCAGCACGGGCCAAGCCCCUGCAGCUGGGAAGAAAGCAGGCUGUGGCCACGGGCAGAGGAGCUGGGCCUUCCCGGCCUCCACGUCCGCCUGAGGCAGAGCAGUGGGAAGACAGUGUGGUGACGAGCCGAGGGGCCUGACUCCGUUUGCAUUGUUUGUAUUCCCUUGAUCGCCUCGUGAAAACUGGCCAAGAGGGCAGGAAUGGGCCAGACAGACCAGUGUCUCCACAGACACCGCGGCAGCCUAAGCCCAGGGGGGAGGUGCUGGAGAGAGAGCCAGGCCACCAGGAGAAAGACAGGAGGUCUAGGCUUUCCGGAGUGGAGAAGCUGUCCAGGCUCCCUGGCCUUUGCAACCGGCUGGUUAAACUGAGGUCACUCAGCCAGGGAACGGCCAGCGGUGGUUUGGUGAAAGCCAGUUAAGUUGUGCCCAGCUUGGGCUCAAAAUGCCUUUCAGAUUUCCAAGAGCUCCCCUCAGCAUCCAUUCGGCCGAAGCAGAGGCUGCCGACCCCAAACAGGCCCCCCGGAGAGGAGGGCAGAGCCCGACGCGUGGUGACAGGUGUGAACGCUGAAGCAGUGUGGGGUGGGGAAGGUGAAGCUGAGAAAGCGCUGCUGGGCCCAGCUGUGGGGCUCCAGAGAGCAGCCUGUGGGUGCAGAGCAGAGGGGGGCCACUGACACCAGGACAGUGGACUUGGGACUCCUGUCUGCUUGGUUUCAUCAGGAAGGGAGGAAGUGGAUGGGAAGAGGAGAAAAAGGUGUGAAGAUUUGGCUUCGGUGGAAGAACUAUGGGGGUGUCUAAUCCCCAGCAAGCAUGGUACACAGGUGGUGCCCACGGCCUCUGGAGAGCCCAGACACCAGGCUGUGCCAGUCGGACGAAGUCACUUUACUACUCAAUACUUGCAGCGUAGAGGAGAGAGCUUCCUUCUGUCCGUGUUUGGCAGAUGUGAGCACAGGUACAGAACGGCGGAAGGGUCUGGCAGAAGACGGCUGCUCACCUCAUGGCCUCCAGGAAGCAGCGAGAGCAGGGAGGCGCCGGGUGGGGGAGACCCUUCCAGGUCACACCCCAGUGACUGCCCUUUCCUUCUGCAAGUUGCCACCUUCCACAAGCCCCGCCUCUGAGUACAUGUGGCUCCCCAGGGGCAUGAGACUAAUCCAACACUGUCUUUAUGAUACUCCUAGGAUGCCUGGCACCCGGGCAGCUUGCUUGCCUGUGGGACAUCUGGGACCUGCAGGGGCAGUGCUGCCACCAGAGGGUGGACAGAACCCCAUCCCUGAUAGGGUGAUUCUCAUCUGGGCCUCAUGCGGACCCCCAGGACGCGAGCCCCAGGGCCCUGAGCUGGGCGCCGAUCUGCAGCCCCCUUCACAGUGACUCCUUUUCUGUCUGCCACCCCAUGCUCCCUGCCAGAGUCACCCAAGCCCACACCCCAGGUCUCUUGGGGUGGGGACGGAACAGGUGUGAGGUGAAUAUCCCAGAAGCUGUUGGCUGCCCUGCCCUGGCCCUAGAGCCUUCUGCGACUCACCAUGGCCCAACAAAUGACCCCCGGGAAGCUGUAAGAAAGAUAAAGACGAGAUCUACAAUGUCCCCCUACAGUCUCCUCUGUGAAAGGACUGGUCCUUGGGGCGCCAUACUGGUCAGUGGGUCCAUCCACGGGUGAGAGGGUUUUUCCUCUGCCAUCACCUUCCACCAGCUGACCAUGGAACCAGCUGACCACAGAACCAACUGACUAUGGACUAAAACUGCAAGCCACAGUGAACCUCGCCUCCUCUAAGUUGGGGGUGUCGGCCGUUGUGUCCCAGUGACAGGGAAAGUGACCAGGACAGUGCCUAUAGCCUUAGGCAGGGCCAUGGAGAGCCAGGGGAGCCCUGGCCCUGACCACUGACCUCUAGCUGCAACCAGAGAGGGGACAGAGGAGCAGGGCCUCUGGGGUAGCUCCUUCCUCAGGGGCCAAGAGAAGGGGAGAGAAGGGAGGCUCCGUGUGGGGUCCCUGCAGUGCCCCGUGUCACUCCUCAGCUCAGCUUCCUCUCUCCCAAGAUGGUGGACCGUGAUCCGAGUCAUCCACAGCCAAGGCAGAACUGCGGGAGGGGUCUCCUCCUCACUCCUGCCAGGUUCGCCCCCCGCGGAAGGUGGGGCAAAGCUGCAGUCUCAGUCACCGUAGAGGCCGGGCUGGGAUAGAGGCACUGAGGGCCCCCAGGCUGAGGGUCCACACCUCACUCUUGCUACCCCCAGAGCACGUGCCCCACGCACCCAACAAUCCCCACUGGCUCUGGCCACAGGUCCCUGGCUGGGUGCUUCCGCCAGGCCAUGGGGAAGCGACAAACUCCUCCCUCCUUCCUGGGAUGCCAAGAUCCAGCAGGGAGGGGUCAGGUCUUCAGCAGCGCAAGAACCAGGUGCACCUCCCACCGCAGCACUUGCAGCCCACGAGGGUCAGGGAAGGCCGGGAAGGAGGGGGCAGCAGAGAUGGGAAUCGGCCUGCAGUUCCCACCCAGGCUUACCCUCCUGCACCCCUCGCACUCCUUAUAAGUGGCCUAGAGAAGCCCCCACAGUGACCACGAACAGAAGGGGCACAGAGGGCUGGCGAGAAGGCCAAGGCCAAGGUGGGGCGCUAGGGGGAGCAUCUGCUCGGAGGAAGGUGCUCCUCGCAUCCCACGGUCUCAGUAAGCAGCAGAUGGGAAACGGGCCCUCGCUCAGGUCUUUCCCUCUCCAGCCUCACUCAGCCAUCGGCUCCAGAUGCACUCGCCCUUCCUCCCUUCACCCUGCGCUGGGUUGGACGCAGGCUGGGCUUAGGGUCACUGAGGCCGAGGUCCCGCACGCCCGGGAGAAGAGGCCACAGUCAGACCCCCGUGGGUGUGGGGCCCUGAGGGAGUCGGAUGGGCAGCCAGGCAGCUUCGGGGGACAGGAGGUCAGCUAGGGUGACCCCAGUGCCACGGGACCCGCUGAGGAAGCCGGCCGGGAGCAGCUGUGCACCGGGCCCGAGAUGCUGCAGUCACUCUAAGGGCCUGGCACGGGUCCUGGAGUCCUGGGCUGUGGCGGGGCUCUGGGGGUGAGCUCUCCCCGCCCACACCAGGCUGGCGUCGCCGGAGGUCUGGGGCAGAUCCCUUGCCUACUCCUCCCGCCGGCCCUCCAUGUCCACACUGGGUGUUCUGCGUCUUUCUCUUGGACCUGUGCCAGUGGUGCCAAUGCCAGGGGCAACGCCGUCCAGACAGCUUCAGGGCCCUCCGUCCUCACUGUCACAGACUGUUCCAAAGCCCCUCACCCCAUCUCCUGGCUGACUCCGUCUCCACCCCAGGCUCUCCUCCUCCCGCCUCCAUCUUGGUGUCCUCUCUGGCAGGGAUUUCUGUGGAGCUCAGGGCACAGGUCAUCCUCCUUGUGCUUCCGCAACGGACAGCAACAUCUCUGUGACUGAAAACAAAGGUGUCUCUCACGGCCCGCGACCAUCAUGACCAGGUCUCUCGCGAUGGCCACACCUGGCUGUCUGUACCCUGCCUGCCCAGGGCUGUUUGUCCGGAUCCCAAGCUCCCACACAGGUUUGCUGAGGGCGGGAGGUGGCACCGCACCCACGAGGCAGGCCUCUUCCACGAUAGCUUCUCGUGGGCCCCUUCCGGUCUGCACACAGGUGGCGGUGUGUACGGCAUAGCCCGAAUGCGGGGCUCACACGCAGUCCCCGGGGAUAAGAAAGGGACCUACUCCAGCUGGGAGGGUGCGGAGGGAGAGGAAGUGUGCAGGCCCCCGAGGCUGUGUGAACCACCUCUCUUCUCUUCCUGCUUGCCUGGCCUGAGUCGCAGCCACAUCCAGGUGCCCGGAAGCAGAUGUAUGGCCAGCGACGGGCACACCAUGGCAGGAGGGCCGGAGACGGGAAGUUCUGUGCUGCUGUGAGUGAAGGCCCAGCACCUUCCCGCUACAGGACAAAGCUUGGCAUCAGGGGUCCGGUUCACAGAGGGAGAGCUGGCCUGAAGGUGGCAGGGUCACUUCCACCCCCGCCCCAGAGGACUCGGCCAGAGCUGCGACCACACAGCCAGGAUGGGAUGAAAUGGACGGAUCCAGACCACCUUCCCGCAGUCGUGGGAGAAGCGAAUCAAGUUCGGACUCAGUGGCCCGGGUUUGUAAGUGGGGUGUGAGCGCCAGGGAGAAGGGACAGCAGCCGCCCUCCUGCGGCCUCAGGCCAGUGUCACAGAGUCCUGGCUUCUGAGAGGAGCGGAAGUCUGGGCUCACAUGUGAUAUCUUCCAAUCUGCAAAGACUGGGGACUCCUUUCAUUAAGAUGACAAAAUCACCCCACUGACUCUUCACAGACCAAGGCAAACCCACUCCACGCAGCUUGGGCUGGGUGGGGUUCCAGAAUCCCAAGUGGAAAAAAAAAGUGACAACAGGACCGGCCCAAGCCAGCCGGAGGCCACAGGGAGGGGUCCCGGCCUCUGGUGUCGGGGUGGACUCCGGCGCUCUCAGCGCUGGAUGGAAAGUGCUCCCCUGCACUGGGCAGGCCUCCUCGUCCCCUGCUUCCCGCUCCUCUCUGUGUCCCCACUGGGCUGGUCUCCAGGCUGUGCGUGGCUCGGGCCCGUGUGGGACCCAGGGCUGACUCUGGGCUGCUCCGAGGCAGGCAUAGGCAUCAAUGUCCCCCCUGGCCACAGGUUCCUCUCCGGCUUCUGCUCCUGGGCACUGGCAGGAGGAGGCCUGGCCUGCUGGCCCACGGGGAUUGGGUCCUGCUGCUCCUGCUCCAAAGCCUGUCCCGAAAGUCAUCAGGGAAACGAUCCAGAGGAACGACGCCUCAUCGCCCUCCACCUCUCCAGGAACUGGACUGGGACUUUGUUCCACGCCCCGCCUCACCUGGGGCCCGCGAAGACAUCCAGAGAAGCUGCAGCCACACGCUCUGAGGCAUGGGGAUGCCCCUCUCUGCCCCUCCCUGCAAACUGCAGAGGACGGCACUCGAGGGGCCGCAGCGGGACCAUCCUCCCCUCCCCUGUACCCAGAGGACAGACUUGCUCCCCUCUGUUGGGAUUUAAAAAGCCACUUCACAGAUAAAAGAAAAAACAAAUGCACAGAUCUGUAAACAGGAUCAGGCCCUCCUUGAGGCUCUGUUGAUCCCCCAGAUAUUCCCAAGUGUUGAUGUAAAUAAUGACUGCUAAAUUAAAUGUUACCA